Molecule: long non-coding RNA, 1384 nt
Organism: Ruditapes philippinarum (Manila clam)
Lineage: Eukaryota; Metazoa; Mollusca; Bivalvia; Venerida; Veneridae
Exons: 2
Source: RefSeq, a predicted model, not a curated record
UACACUCACUACGGUGUACAUACUAAAUAUGACAUUAAACAAUUACAAAGAGCUGUUACUCAAAUAUUUUGAAAUAAAAGUUUUUGGCUUUAAGCACUACACUUCUUAACACCCUUUCAGAUUAGUCCAUCGAUAAAGUUUCAUAUAAAUAUUGUGUUCAUAAUGUUGGAGUUACAUUUUGGUCAACUACCAGUGAAAUGGGCAGUUACUCAAAAAUGAUAAGGCAAACAGUUAUAAAUUGUAUUGCACUGCACUUCUACUUAUUUAAAUAUAUCUGCCUUCACAGUUUUCUGUUGAUCUUUCUUAUAGAAUAUGUAGGAUUAUUAUGCACUGUACUUCUACGCAAUGGGAUUUUCUACCUACUAAGUUUCUUUCUGAUGUCGUUUUGUAGUUCUGUUUUGGACACAGUUUAAAUUUUUAAAUGAAAAUUGCAGGUCUGCAAAAGUCAAAUUAAGCAAGUCCCUUCAAUUUAUUAGAUAUAUCUUUUUACACAGUGUCUUGCUGAUAUCUCAUGUAGUAAUCGGACAAUAAAAUUGUUUUUUGUUCUGUUUUCACAGAAGAGAGAGAACGUUCUUGUUACAAUUUAUUGCAGGAAAAAGUCGAUAUGGAUGAUAAACAAAAAGAAUGUUGUUGCAGGAAACAUGUCAACAAAAUCGCAUUAGUGUUCAUAGGCUUGUUAUAUCUUCUUUUUGCAUUAGUGUAUUAUUUUCGCGCAUGGUCUAAAAAAUGAAUACAUUUUAAAUUAUUACUUAUAGAUUCUUAGAUCCUUGUUUUGGUGAUUAAAUGCGUUUGCCAUGCUUUUAGAUAUGAAUUAGUUCCCUUCUAAUUAUGCAAGGCUACAUGAACUUAUUAUAGAUGUUUCCAAUGACAUGGAAAACAAGUCCAAAGAUUAAAAAAACAUAAGUGAUAAAUAUUUAUAUUUAUACUUAGAAAUUUCUGGGGUAUUUAUUUAACAAUUUUUGAUAUAACUAUAUGCUCAUUCACUAAUUUAGUUUUUGUAAUCAAGUUAUGCUUUUGUAUUAGUUUCUGGCCUCUUUGUCCUUUUUGUGUGUUUUAUUUUCACUUAAUACUAUUAAAUGGUAAUAAAAAUAUUAGAAUCAUAGUAAAUUAUGCAAUUAAGCAGAUAUUGUUCAAAUAAUACGUAAGAUAACUGUUAUUGUAUAAUCGUCGACAAUUAUAUUUUGAUCUUAAGGUAUUUUAGGUAACGCUAACGAGAUGAAAUGUGUUAUAGCAACUUGUAUGUAUAUAUAACCAGAUUUCGGUAUGAAACUUAUAUAAUAUGAUUAUAACAAACUCAAAUAAACGUAGUUUUAUUCGGAGUUUUAGCUUAAGCAAUUUUGUUAGUAAUAAUACAUUUAUGUAAAUAAUUAAAUCUAUAAACAGA